This 805-nucleotide ribosomal RNA is filed under the name uncultured Lactobacillus sp. RNAcentral's name for it is "bacterial SSU rRNA". It matches the Rfam family "Bacterial small subunit ribosomal RNA", at positions 8 to 780 of the family's 1533-position model. The record is from RNAcentral. Lineage: Bacteria; Bacillati; Bacillota; Bacilli; Lactobacillales; Lactobacillaceae.
AGAGUUUGAUCCUGGCUCAGGACGAACGCUGGCGGCGUGCCUAAUACAUGCAAGUCGAGCGAGCGGAACCAACAGAUUUACUUCGGUAAUGACGUUGGGAAAGCGAGCGGCGGAUGGGUGAGUAACACGUGGGGAACCUGCCCCUAAGUCUGGGAUACCAUUUGGAAACAGGUGCUAAUACCGGAUAAUAAAGCAGAUCGCAUGAUCAGCUUUUGAAAGGCGGCGUAAGCUGUCGCUAAGGGAUGGCCCCGCGGUGCAUUAGCUAGUUGGUAAGGUAACGGCUUACCAAGGCGACGAUGCAUAGCCGAGUUGAGAGACUGAUCGGCCACAUUGGGACUGAGACACGGCCCAAACUCCUACGGGAGGCAGCAGUAGGGAAUCUUCCACAAUGGACGCAAGUCUGAUGGAGCAACGCCGCGUGAGUGAAGAAGGUUUUCGGAUCGUAAAGCUCUGUUGUUGGUGAAGAAGGAUAGAGGUAGUAACUGGCCUUUAUUUGACGGUAAUCAACCAGAAAGUCACGGCUAACUACGUGCCAGCAGCCGCGGUAAUACGUAGGUGGCAAGCGUUGUCCGGAUUUAUUGGGCGUAAAGCGAGCGCAGGCGGAAAAAUAAGUCUAAUGUGAAAGCCCUCGGCUUAACCGAGGAACUGCAUCGGAAACUGUUUUUCUUGAGUGCAGAAGAGGAGAGUGGAACUCCAUGUGUAGCGGUGGAAUGCGUAGAUAUAUGGAAGAACACCAGUGGCGAAGGCGGCUCUCUGGUCUGCAACUGACGCUGAAGCUCGAAAGCAUGGGUAGCGAACAGGAUUA